GCAGCUGCAACUCGACUGCAUGAAGCUGGAAUCGCAGUAAUCGCGGAUCAGAAUGCCGCGGUGAAUACGUUCCCGGGUCUUGUACACACCGCCCGUCACACCAUGGGAGUCGGAUAUGCCCGAAGUCAGUGACCCAACCGCAAGGAGGGAGCUGCCGAAGGUGGAGCCGAUGACUGGGGUGAAGUCGUAACAAGGUAAC
This 199-nucleotide ribosomal RNA is filed under the name uncultured bacterium. Its description in RNAcentral is "partial 16S ribosomal RNA". It matches the Rfam family "Bacterial small subunit ribosomal RNA", at positions 1300 to 1500 of the family's 1533-position model. The record is from RNAcentral.